UCCUUGCUUCGACUUCUCGUCUUCCCUCCUCUUCUUUUUUGUUGGUCUUCUUGCUCUCCUGUUGCUCUUUUUACUGGAAAAUGGCGAUCUCGGUAUCAGAUCGGAGCGACCGAUUGGAUUCGUGUUCGUGGAUUGCCUUGUAUGGAUACGUGUUGAUAACUCCGUACGAUUUUAGAGUGGAAGGGCAUGGGUAGAUGAUUCGGAAAGCUAGGGUUUUUGUUUUUCGAUCUGACCCUUUUCUUUCGAACAGAAGAAUUGACUGGCUUUCGUCUUUUAGAUGAUAGGGAACGAUUGGCGUGUUUUUUUUUUAAUAUUAUUAUUGAUUUUGUUGUGCUUAGUUAGCUGAUGAUUCGAUUGGGACAAAAGUAUGAUUCUUUGGAAGAAUUUGAUGGUGAUAACGAUAGGAAAUCAUGUGUCCUUUUGAAAGAUUUGGUUCCAAGUUCCACUUGGAUGGAGGUAUCCCUCUUGAUGGUCUUAUUUUGUAUAGAUGAACUUGAGGGGAUAACACAACCUUCAUGGAUAUGCUGAUGCUAUCUUAGUUAGGCAUCUGUUUUUAUUGGGUCCUUAUGUAUGCAUUUGUAUGCAAAUAACAUUCCCUUUGUGUCCGACACCAUUUGUUAGGUGCACUUAGGAUUUUUUUUUUUUUCAUGGAACUUUUUGCUCCUUAUUCUUCACUUUAUCACCUGAUUCUUGCACUGAUGCUAAUUUGUAAUAGGGCGUGCCUCAGAAUUUGUAGGAGAUGUACUGCACUACGGCUACCAUGAAGCAUAGUUCUGGCACUUUAAAUUAGCAUUUUGUUGUCAGCAAGCAAUUUCUGGUCACGAAGUUGGUGGGCUAUACGUGUCCUGACUUUUUUGGGGAUGAAGGCUUUCUUUCCUUCCAACUCAGAUAUUUGAGUGCAUGGCUUUGCAGACCACAAACUCCUCAUUGCAGGGGUUAAAAUUGAAUUACAUCAGGAUUUUUUUUCUAACUUUUUUGCGUAAUGCAUGAUCAGCUUUUGAUGUUAAAAGUGCUAUCAUGCCAUUCAUAUGGUAUUUGUUGAUUGACUUUGUUUUUGUUGCUGUAA
Long non-coding RNA from Musa acuminata AAA Group (dessert banana), 1066 nucleotides. RefSeq lists it as uncharacterized. The record is from RefSeq and is a predicted model, not a curated record. NCBI's taxonomy places the organism in Eukaryota, Viridiplantae, Streptophyta, Magnoliopsida, Zingiberales, Musaceae. The transcript has 3 exons.